RNAcentral lists this non-coding RNA (593 nucleotides) under Drosophila virilis. Its description in RNAcentral is "Eukaryotic large subunit ribosomal RNA". It matches the Rfam family "Eukaryotic large subunit ribosomal RNA", at positions 1 to 577 of the family's 3401-position model. Lineage: Eukaryota; Metazoa; Arthropoda; Insecta; Diptera; Drosophilidae. The record is from Rfam by way of RNAcentral.
CAACCUCAACUCAUAUGGGACUACCCCCUGAAUUUAAGCAUAUUAAUUAGGGGAGGAAAAGAAACUAACAAGGAUUUUCUUAGUAGCGGCGAGCGAAAAGAAAUCAGUUCAGCACUAAGUCACUUUGUCUAUAUGGCAAAUGUGAGAUGCAGUGUACGGAACAUCAACAUUCUAGUAUGAGAAGUUAACGAUUUAAGUCCUUCUUAAAUGAGGCCAUUUACCCAUAGAGGGUGCCAGGCCCGUAUAACGUUAAUGAUUACUAGAUGGUGUUUCCAAAGAGUCGUGUUGCUUGAUAGUGCAGCACUAAGUGGGUGGUAAACUCCAUCUAAAACUAAAUAUAACCAUGAGACCGAUAGUAAACAAGUACCGUGAGGGAAAGUUGAAAAGAACUCUGAAUAGAGAGUUAAAUAGUACGUGAAACUGCUUAGAGGUUAAGCCCGAUGAACCUGAAUAUCCGUUAUGGAAAAUUCAUCAUUAGAAUUGUAAUAUUUUAAACAAUAUUAUAAUAAUAGUGUGCAUUUUUUCCAUAUAAGGACAUUGUAAUCUAUUAGCAUAAAUAUUUAUCAUAAAAUUAUGUCUGAUUGCUUAUUUGA